GUGUACCCUAGAGUUCCCCUGACCGCUUCAUGGGGAUCCUUGGCUACUGGAUAAAAUGCAGCCAUUUAGCCUUCUGAAGUGUUUGGGGGAACUCUACAAUUUUC
This 104-nucleotide microRNA precursor is filed under the name Olea europaea subsp. europaea. The record is from RNAcentral. Lineage: Eukaryota; Viridiplantae; Streptophyta; Magnoliopsida; Lamiales; Oleaceae.